This 208-nucleotide unclassified non-coding RNA is filed under the name uncultured Basidiomycota. RNAcentral describes it as "sequence contains ITS2". Lineage: Eukaryota; Fungi; Basidiomycota. The record is from RNAcentral.
AAUUCUCAACCCUCCUAUUUUGUAAUGAAAUAGUUAUGGGCUUGGAUUAUGGCUGUCUGUCGGCUCGUCACGAGCCGGCUCAGGUGAAAUACACGAGCAACCCAGCUGGAACAGCGACGGCUUGACUCGGCGUAAUAACCUAUUUCGCUGAGGACGUCGCACUGUACGUUUCAAGUAGCGGUGCUUCUAAUGCAAAUCUAUCUUAAGC